RNAcentral lists this ribosomal RNA (253 nucleotides) under uncultured bacterium. Its description in RNAcentral is "partial 16S ribosomal RNA". It matches the Rfam family "Bacterial small subunit ribosomal RNA", at positions 524 to 776 of the family's 1533-position model. The record is from RNAcentral.
UACGUAGGGACCAAGCGUUGUUCGGAUUUACUGGGCGUAAAGGGCGCGUAGGCGGCAAUUCAAGUCAGCUGUGAAAUCUCCGGGCUUAACCCGGAACGGCCAGCUGAUACUGCUUUGCUAGAGUGCGGAAGGGGCAAUCGGAAUUCUUGGUGUAGCGGUGAAAUGCGUAGAUAUCAAGAGGAACACCUGAGGUGAAGACGGGUUGCUGGGCCGACACUGACGCUGAGGCGCGAAAGCCAGGGGAGCAAACGGG